CAUUAAUGAGAUAGGGUUCUCAGAGCCCGAACCUCCAACCCUUUGUGUACCUUACCUUUGUUGCUUUGGCGGGCCCGUGGGGUCACCCACCGCCGGCUUCGGCUGGCCAGAGCCCGUCGGAGGACCAUUCAAACCCUGUUUAUCAGUGACGUCUGAGUACUAUCUAAUAGUUAAAACUUUCAACAACGGAUCUCUUGGUUCUGGCAUCGAUGAAGAACGCAGCGAAAUGCGAUAAGUAAUGUGAAUUGCAGAAUUCAGUGAAUCAUCGAAUCUUUGAACGCACAUUGCGCCCUUUGGUAUUCCGAAGGGCAUGCCUGUUCGAGCGUCAUUAUCAACCCUCAAGCCCUGGCUUGGUGUUGGACCCUUAGGUGGGGGUUGCGUCCCCCACCGGUCCCAAAGACAAUGACGGCGUCCGGAGGACCCUCGGUACACUGAGCUUACCUUGAAAGCACGUACUGACAGUGGCCGACGGACACGGGUCUCAUCCUUUAUUUCUCAGGUUGACCUCGGAUCAGGUAGGAAUACCC
Molecule: ribosomal RNA, 527 nt
Filed under: uncultured Ascomycota
Lineage: Eukaryota; Fungi; Ascomycota
Description: eukaryotic LSU rRNA
Rfam family: 5.8S ribosomal RNA (bases 175-328)
Source: RNAcentral